Molecule: long non-coding RNA, 535 nt
Filed under: Fukomys damarensis (Damara mole-rat)
Lineage: Eukaryota; Metazoa; Chordata; Mammalia; Rodentia; Bathyergidae
Description: lncRNA (ENSFDAG00000033550.1)
Source: RNAcentral
CGGGAAAAGCCACAAGCUCUCAUCUGGGAAAUGGGGCAAUGUCACAGGAGGUUGGGGGGUGCAGGCCACUCCAGCUGGGACCUUUCCUGCCCAGUCCAAGGAGCCACUAUUUUCCAGAGAAUGGAGAGAGCAGGAGGCCCCAGUACAUCUCUGUGGCCUUGCAGGGCUGCCCCAUGCGGGCAUGGCACAGCAGGAAUGCCCAACCAGCACACCUGAGUCUUUCCAACAAAGGACUGGAGGAGAGUCGACUCGGCGUGGCUCUGAGGGUCAGGGCAGGAGAGAGAUGAGGAGGUCCCUGUUGGCCCAGGUGGACCUGACCAGGGGUGGGGGAUACCCGUGGAACAUCUGGACCGAGAGCCUCAAAAAUGGCACAAAGGGCACACUGGAGAGCACUCAGUGGCCACAGGGUCCACACAAGAGAGAGCAAGGUUAGUGAUUGCAAAGGGCCCUGAGGCCAUUUUUGAGGGUGCACCAUUGGCCUGGAGCCCAUGAAAGCCAGAAACACACGACGAAUGUGACCCAAGACACCGAGGCC